AUUGGGCCUAAGCAUCCGUAGCCGGUCUUGCAAGUCUUCCGUUAAAUCCACCUGCUUAACAGAUGGGCUGCGGAGGAUACUACAAGGCUAGGAGGCGGGAGAGGCAAGCGGUACUCAGUGGGUAGGGGUAAAAUCCUCUGAUCCAUUGAAGACCACCAGUGGCGAAGGCGGCUUGCCAGAACGCGCUCGACGGUGAGGGAUGAAAGCUGGGGGAGCAAACCGGAUUAGAUACCCCCGUAGUCCA
This 244-nucleotide ribosomal RNA is filed under the name uncultured crenarchaeote. Its description in RNAcentral is "partial 16S ribosomal RNA". It matches the Rfam family "Archaeal small subunit ribosomal RNA", at positions 503 to 748 of the family's 1478-position model. Lineage: Archaea; Thermoproteati; Thermoproteota. The record is from RNAcentral.